GAAUGGCUCAUUAUAUAAGUUAUCGUUUAUUUGAUAGUACCUUACUACUUGGAUAACCGUGGUAAUUCUAGAGCUAAUACAUGCUAAAAAUCCCGACUUCGGAAGGGAUGUAUUUAUUAGAUUAAAAACCAAUGCCCUUCGGGGCUCACUGGUGAUUCAUAAUAACUUCUCGAAUCGCAUGGCCUUGCGCCGGCGAUGGUUCAUUCAAAUUUCUUCCCUAUCAACUUUCGAUGUUUGGGUAUUGGCCAAACAUGGUUGCAACGGGUAACGGAGGGUUAGGGCUCGACCCCGGAGAAGGAGCCUGAGAAACGGCUACUACAUCCAAGGAAGGCAGCAGGCGCGCAAAUUACCCAAUCCCGACACGGGGAGGUAGUGACAAUAAAUACUGAUACAGGGCUCUUUUGGGUCUUGUAAUUGGAAUGAGUACAAUUUAAAUCCCUUAACGAGGAACAAUUGGAGGGCAAGUCUGGUGCCAGCAGCCGCGGUAAUUCCAGCUCCAAUAGCGUAUAUUAAAGUUGUUGUGGUUAAAAAGCUCGUAGUUGAACCUUGGGCCUGGCUGGCCGGUCCGCCUCACCGCGUGUACUGGCUCGGCCGGGCCUUUCCCUCUGUGGAACCCCAUGGCCUUCACUGGUCGUGGCGGGGAAACAGGACUUUUACUUUGAAAAAAUUAGAGUGCUCCAGGCAGGCCUAUGCUCGAAUACAUUAGCAUGGAAUAAUAGAAUAGGACGUGCGGUUCUAUUUUGUUGGUUUCUAGGACCGCCGUAAUGAUUAAUAGGGACAGUCGGGGGCAUCAGUAUUCAAUUGUCAGAGGUGAAAUUCUUGGAUUUAUUGAAGACUAACUACUGCGAAAGCAUUUGCCAAGGAUGUUUUCAUUAAUCAGGAACGAAAGUUAGGGGAUCGAAGACGAUCAGAUACCGUCGUAGUCUUAACCGUAAACUAUGCCGACUAGGGAUCGGACGAUGUUAUAUUUUGACUCGUUCGGCACCUUACGAGAAAUCAAA
RNAcentral lists this ribosomal RNA (1001 nucleotides) under Mariannaea camptospora. Its description in RNAcentral is "SSU rRNA". It matches the Rfam family "Eukaryotic small subunit ribosomal RNA", at positions 91 to 1102 of the family's 1831-position model. The record is from RNAcentral. Lineage: Eukaryota; Fungi; Ascomycota; Sordariomycetes; Hypocreales; Nectriaceae.